AGGGCUAUUCUGGCGAGAAAGGUGAUACUGGAUUAUCCGGGAAAAACGGAAUUAAGGGCGACUCUGGUUCAAGAGGAUCACCCGGUCCAAGAGGUCCCGUAGGUCCUCCUGGUGCAACUGGCGAGACUGGAAAACAAGGAGUGUCGGGCCCACGAGGAGUAACUGGAGAUACCGGACCUCAAGGUCCAGUAGGUCCUCCAGGUUUGCCUGGUAUUAAAGGAGUCCAAGGAAUAAAGGGAGCGAAAGGAUACCAAGGAUCACAAGGUUUAGCAGGUUUAGAUGGAAAACCGG
Corticium candelabrum is the source of this 291-nucleotide long non-coding RNA. RefSeq lists it as uncharacterized. Lineage: Eukaryota; Metazoa; Porifera; Homoscleromorpha; Homosclerophorida; Plakinidae. The transcript has 5 exons. The record is from RefSeq and is a predicted model, not a curated record.